AAUUUCCGAUAACGACACGUCAUAUCCGGACGGUCCUGAGAUGCCGGUAAGAAAGGAUUGUCCCGGGAAAAAGCGAGAGUUUAGGCUCCCUCCCUCCCGUCUUUCCCGGGCCGGAGAGAAAGGACGAAAGAAUAGCCACGGUGAAGGAUCUCACGGCAGCGCACCCGUUUCCCGCCUUUUCUUUUGGGGUAUCCAGCCUUAGGAAAAGCCGCUUCUCCGCUGGUCUUCGUGUUGUGGUAGAGGCCUCACCGGCUUUGGCCUUGUCAUAAGAGAGCAGACGCGACGAAGGUCAUCCUCUCGCCUCCCAGCGCCCGCCGAGUUCAUCUUGACCGUUAUAUUGAAUUUCUCUGUUAUCUUCUCUGUUAAGAUGACCCUCAUAAGCUUGUGAGGCUGGAAUAUGUGUAUAAACACAAAUAACCGUUCAUGUUGAUCUCCUAAACGUAUGCCUUACCUAGAUCUACUUUGGGAGUUGGAAACUUGAAUCGAUGUUAUCAGAUGAGUUAGAGUCUAAACCAGAGUUGCUGGUUCAGUUUGUUCAGAACACAUCCAUCCCACUAGGACAGGGACUUGUGGAAUCAGAACCUAAAAAUAUUACCUGUCUAUCUCUUCUUCCCGUUACAGAAUCCCCACAAUGCAACAGGUUGAUAUUGCCAGAUGAUUCCCCAAACCAUAUUCACUCUUCCAAGCAUGCUUCUUCAUCGGCUGUUCUGCGAAGUCUCCAAGUAAAUGUUGGCCCUGAUGGUGAGGAGACAAGGGCACAAACAGUACAGAAACCACCUGACCUUCUUCCAAGUCCUGAUACUUCUGCCUUAUUGCAAGAUCUUCAGCCUGGUGAUAAUACUUCCUUUAUUCUCCUCAAUUUAACACGGACAGGUCUAGGGUCUUCUUCAGAACACCUGGUAUUUGUCCAGGAUGGAGCAGUGGAUUCUGGGAACAAUUUCUUUGCGAAUAAUAGUACAGAUAGCAGUACUCCAUGGUUUUUACGAGUGCAGGAACUGGCUCAUGAUAGUUUGAUUGCUGCCACUCGAGCACAGCUCGCUAAGAAUGCCAAAGCAAACAAUAAUGGUGAAAAUGUCCAUGUUUGUUCAGGAGAAUCACAGCCAAAGGAAUCCAGCCCCAUUCCUCACCUACCCCGGGUAGAAAAAAAAUUGCAGUGCACUGUUGAAGGCUGUGAUCGAACAUUUGUAUGGCCAACUCACUUCAAAUAUCAUCUAAAAACCCACAGGAAUGAUCGCUCCUACACAUGUCCAGCAAAAGAUUGUGGGAAAAGUUUUUAUGUCUUACAAAGAUUGAAGGUGCACAUGAGAACACAUAACGGGGAGAAACCAUUUAUUUGCUCUGAACUAGGCUGUGGAAAGCAAUUCACAACAGCUGGGAAUCUGAAGAAUCAUCUGCGAAUUCACACUGGGGAAAAGCCUUUUUUAUGCGAGGCCCAGGGCUGUGGUCGUUCCUUUGCUGAAUAUUCCAGCCUUCGAAAACACCUAGUUGUUCAUUCGGGAGUAAAGCCACAUCAAUGUCAAAUUUGUGGGAAGACAUUUUCUCAGAGUGGUAGUAGAAAUGUACACAUGAAGAAACAUCAUUCGAGGGUUGAAACAACUAGCAAUAGGCAGCAUGAGCAAACAGAAUCACUGAUGGGCAGCAGUUUGUUGGAAGAAUCUGAAUUAGACAGUAAGAGCCUGGUGUCAAUGAACUCUCCAUCUAGCCUUGUUGAAUCUUUGCAUUUGCCAGAUCCGGAAUCAAUCAUUGGUGUAAAAGAAGAGGUUCUAGCUGAAGCAGCAGUAAAUUCUCUCCAUGAUGUUUCUGAUGUGGUUUUGCCAUCUCAUCAUCUGAUGCCCAUGUCAACAUCAAGGCACUCUUACGGCGUGUCAUCCUUACUACAAUAAAUUCCUAGGUCUGAAGGUUUCUGUUUUAAAAAACGUAGUGCUAGCCUCUUUAAUUUCAGAAAACAUUUGCUCCUUCUAUAAUUGAAGUUACAGAAGAACAGCAAAUCUGUGACAUUGAAUAUAUGAUACUGUAUGAAGCUAAAGAAGAGGCUUUUCUGAUGCUCAAGUUGUUUGACAUUUAAAUUCCUGGAAUUUGUGCAGUGUCUCCAGUGUACUUCCUAUGACAUGGUGGAGCAGAGGCCUGGACUAUGGUUUUGCUUCAGUUAGUUUAAAAAAACAAAAAAACUUUGUUUUCUAAGGGAGGAUGGAACAGCUGCUAUUAAUUAUGGAGUUAAUAUUUAACCUGGUGUCCAAAGCCAUGAGAUAAAGUUCUUGUACCUAGUUUAAAGCCAGAUUUUUUUUUCUUUUUUGAAGUGACCAUAAGCUCAACAUUAUUUUGGCUUGUUCUUGGAGAAAUAUCUUUUAGCUAGUAAUAAAUUCUGCACCAAGAUGUUGCAGCUCUGGUUUUGCUUCUUAUUUAUAGGGGCAAUUGGUGGUACUCUUUCAUUGGAAUUUUUGCAUUCCCGUGCUUUGUGUGGAUAUGUUCACUAACAUUGCUUUUGGUCCAAACUGAAGAUCUCAUACUAUUCAGAGGAUUGCUUAGGUCACACUUGCUUCUUGCUGUGAUAUUUUAAUUUCUAAUUAUUAGGUUUAAUAGAUUUUUCAUUUUAAAAAAAUCAAAGAUAGAAAUUAUUCAGUAGCAUUCUGUUGUAAAUAAACUACAGAUUUCCAUUCUCGA
RNA transcript from Crotalus tigris (Tiger rattlesnake), 2661 nucleotides. It is a transcript of the gene named zinc finger protein 410, with no coding region annotated. The record is from RefSeq and is a predicted model, not a curated record. The transcript has 12 exons. NCBI's taxonomy places the organism in Eukaryota, Metazoa, Chordata, Lepidosauria, Squamata, Viperidae.